AGUGAAUGCUGGCGGUAGGCCUAACACAUGCAAGUCGAACGGCAGCACAGGAGAGCUUGCUCUCUAGGUGGCGAGUGGCGGACGGGUGAGGAAUACAUCGGAAUCUGCCCAGUCGUGGGGGAUAACGUAGGGAAACUUACGCUAAUACCGCAUACGACCUUCGGGUGAAAGAGGGGGAUCGCAAGACCUCUCGCGAUUGGAUGAGCCGAUGUCGGAUUAGCUAGUUAGCGGGGUAAUGGCCCACCAAGGCGACGAUCCGUAGCUGGUCUGAGAAGAUGAUCAGCCACACUGGAACUGAGACACGGUCCAGACUCCUACGGGAGGCAGCAGUGGGGAAUAUUGGACAAUGGGCGCAAGCCUGAUCCAGCCAUACCGCGUGGGUGAAGAAGGCCUUCGGGUUGUAAAGCCCUUUUGUUGGGAAAGAAAUCUUUCAGGCUAAUACCCUGGGAGGAUGACGGUACCCAAAGAAUAAGCACCGGCUAACUUCGUG
Molecule: ribosomal RNA, 490 nt
Filed under: uncultured bacterium
Lineage: Bacteria
Description: partial 16S ribosomal RNA
Rfam family: Bacterial small subunit ribosomal RNA
Source: RNAcentral